CCGGCCUUGUGCCAUCUCACUGGCCCUAGAUGGCAGCUGGGGCCAAGCAUCCUCUUCUCCCAUAGCUGUGUCCAAGGCAGGAAGCAAGGAGCACUGGGCAGCACUGGCAACCGUCCUUAGGGGAGAAAAUCUCCCUGCAGCGCCCGUGCAGUGAACUCCCUUGGGGUGUCCUACUGGUCAGAACCAGCUGAUGUGCUCAUCUUGGACCAAUCCCUGGCAGACCAGGAUAGGUAUGUCAUGAUUGGCUAGAUCAAUCACAUUCAUUCCCCGGGGGCAGGGCAAAGUGUGAUUAAUGCAAAUCAGGGUUCAGCUAGCCCAGAAGAAGGGGGUGACCAUCGGGUAGACACCAAUGAUGUCCACAGGAGACUGACACUUACUGAGCAGAUACAGAGAGCCAGUUUCUGUCUUAAGCUCUUUGCAUAUAUUAUCUCAAGUCCUCAUGGUGUUAUUUAUGAUGAACGAUUAGAAGCCCAAAGAACUUAAGUGACUUACCCCAAAUCACCUCAACAGGACAGGAGAAACCUGGAUUCAAAUGCAAGCUCCUCAUACCCACUGUCAACCCCAGUAGGUAGGGUUACCAGGUAAAAUACAGGAUGCUCAGUUAAGUUAGAAUUUCAGAUGAAGAAAGAAAAUAUUUUAGUACAAGUAUGUCUAAAUGUUACAUGGGACAUACUUAUCCUAAAAGAAAUUUUGUUGUUGAUCUCCACUUCAAAUUUAACUGAGCAUCCUAUAUUUUUACUUGCUAAAUUUCACAAUCCUACUAGAGCCCCCAGGAAGGAAAUCUAAGUUGGGGUGGGGCUCAGCCAUGUUUGGCUGGUAUAGUAAACACCAAGGAAUAGUCUUCAGUUCCACAAAGAUAUAAGCACUCUCCCAUUUUUCAGGACACCUGACCCCCUCUUGGAUUAUUGUUAUCCUCUUUCUGAGAGAAAUACGAGUAUGGAGAGAAUGUCCCUGCUCUCAGGAAAACAGCUGUGUAUGCAUGGUGAUAAAUGGCAACUGGGAUCUGGCCUGAGGACUAGGGAAGCAGUAGGGAGAAGUGGGGAGUGGGGAGAACCAGAGCAUCCCUUUCAAACCCUCCCCGGCAGAUGGUAGGCCCAGCCCAGUCAAAUCCUCCAGUGCUUUAAAGGAGGUAGGGAUCUGGGUUUUUAUGUAAAACAUCCCUUGAUUUGUGAUCAUUGGCUCGAAUUUUAUUGAAAUGCCAUGUGGGCCAAAGGAAACAUAUCUGCAGGCUUGUGGACACCCAGGGGGAAAAAAAAAAUCUCUGCUGUUAAGUUUGAAAGAGGAGACCGCAAGAGGAGAAGCAGCCCUGGCAGCUGGAGAGUGCAGCCAGACCUAGGUUCCAGUCUCUUCCCUUCCAGAGAACUGCUGUGUGACCGUGGGUGGGUUGCACAACCUCUCUGUUUUCUAAACCGUGUAGAGGAUGUGAUCACACGCAACCAUCUCACUGUGUAGCUGUGAGGCUUCCACGGGACAAGCUGACAGAGGUGAAGUGCCUGGUACCUAGGGAGUGGGUGCUAAUCCUUUCCCUUCCCUGGGAAGGGCUCACACCAAGUUCACUUCAAAGAUGACUUUUUUUUCCCAAGUUCUUUCUCCCUUCCUCUCUCCCUUUUCCCCUUCCUCUCUCCCUCCUACUUCCACCUCUUUUCCUCCUCCUCCUUUUUCUGCUUUUUAAAUUAAACGGUGUGAAGAUUUAGGGCCAGGUGUCAGGAGACCUGGACCAGGCCCUGGCUCUAUUCCAACCUCGGAGUGAGACGUUGGGGGAAGGGUCUCUUCCGUGCCGGGUCUCAGUUUCUCCCUCUGUGAAAUGGGCAGCUUUGAGCGGAGAUGCAGAAGGUCUUCCGGGUGCCAGGGUCACGCAGUUCUGUGGAGCCUUAGCACGGAGGCACGAGGGGAGGGCUGGCGGCCUCGGUGGGGAUGGGAGGGGUGGCUGAGUCAGAGGCACUCUCCGUGCUGGGAGCAAGGGAACCGAGCAGCAGACGGUGCCCGGUGACCUGCAAGCCACAGGAAGGCAGCAGCCUGUGUCAUCAAGGAGCCUGUAAACACCCUCCAAGGAGAGCAAGGUCCCUGCUUGUCUUGGAUCCGACCACAGGCCCAUCCCAGGGAUUUGGGGGCAGAGCUCUUAAUAAAUCAUCCUGCCCAGAACGUGGAAGCCUGGAGCCAUCCCCCGGGCUUUCUGAGAUCUGACCUCUGCUGACCUCUCCCACCCACCUCCCUCUUGCCAGGCCAGAGAUUGAGACUCCCCGCCAUCUGUGAGCGGUGUUGAAGGGCUUGUCCCUUUGCUCCGUCUGCCCUCUUCUGGAGGGUGGGGACUGGGAGGGCCACUUCGGCUGGUCCAGCCCAUUCACCGAAUGAACGAAUGCAUGAAUGAAUGAAUGAAGCUCUCAGGAGGGUUCCAGAUGUUUGGUCAACCUUUAGCUGAGUUCAUGGACAUGCAGAAUGAAAAUGGCUUUCCCCAGCUCCCCUAGAAGGGAGGUGCAGCCGUAUCACCGAGUUCCAGCCAACGCGUUGUAACAGGGAGCGUGUUUGGCAGUUUCUGAAACCCUUCCUGGAGAUUUAGCUGUGGCUACCCUUUACCCGUCAUCUUCCCUUCUUCGUCCUGCUGCCUGGAAGGCAGACGAGAAGGCUGGUGCUGUGGCCUCCACCUUGGAUCGUGAGAAGGAGGGUCACACCCUAGGGAUGGCAGUCAUGAAUGAGAAGGAGCCUGGGACGGCACUGAGAGCUUUGGGGAGUCUCCAAACCAGCCCUGAACUGCCUACAUCUGGACUUCAUUCACACAAGUGAAAAACUCUUUUGUAUAUUGUUGAUUUUUUCAAAUUAAGUUUAGUAUAUUUUAUUAUGACUACAUAUGUAGGUCCUAGCGGUACACUCUAAUGAAAAAUGUCAGCUACAACACAUGCUGCAUUUUUUUUAUUUUAAAAUGUGCUUGAGGGGCCCUGGGUGGCUCAGGGGUUGCCCAUCUGCCUUUGGCCCAGGGAAUGAUCCUGGGGUCCUGGGAUCGAAUCUCGCAUCGGGC
Canis lupus familiaris (dog) is the source of this 3013-nucleotide long non-coding RNA. RefSeq lists it as uncharacterized. Lineage: Eukaryota; Metazoa; Chordata; Mammalia; Carnivora; Canidae. The transcript is spliced from 3 exons. The record is from RefSeq and is a predicted model, not a curated record.